This 916-nucleotide ribosomal RNA is filed under the name Lactococcus lactis subsp. hordniae. RNAcentral's name for it is "bacterial SSU rRNA". It matches the Rfam family "Bacterial small subunit ribosomal RNA", at positions 32 to 931 of the family's 1533-position model. The record is from RNAcentral. Lineage: Bacteria; Bacillati; Bacillota; Bacilli; Lactobacillales; Streptococcaceae.
GAGGUGGGCGGCGGUGCUAUACAUGCAGUUGAGCGCUGAAGGUUGGUACUUGUACCAACUGGAUGAGCAGCGAACGGGUGAGUAACGCGUGGGGAAUCUGCCUUUGAGCGGGGGACAACAUUUGGAAACGAAUGCUAAUACCGCAUAAAAACUUUAAACACAAGUUUUAAGUUUGAAAGAUGCAAUUGCAUCACUCAAAGAUGAUCCCGCGUUGUAUUAGCUAGUUGGUGAGGUAAAGGCUCACCAAGGCGAUGAUACAUAGCCGACCUGAGAGGGUGAUCGGCCACAUUGGGACUGAGACACGGCCCAAACUCCUACGGGAGGCAGCAGUAGGGAAUCUUCGGCAAUGGACGAAAGUCUGACCGAGCAACGCCGCGUGAGUGAAGAAGGUUUUCGGAUCGUAAAACUCUGUUGGUAGAGAAGAACGUUGGUGAGAGUGGAAAGCUCAUCAAGUGACGGUAACUACCCAGAAAGGGACGGCUAACUACGUGCCAGCAGCCGCGGUAAUACGUAGGUCCCGAGCGUUGUCCGGAUUUAUUGGGCGUAAAGCGAGCGCAGGUGGUUUAUUAAGUCUGGUGUAAAAGGCAGUGGCUCAACCAUUGUAUGCAUUGGAAACUGGUAGACUUGAGUGCAGGAGAGGAGAGUGGAAUUCCAUGUGUAGCGGUGAAAUGCGUAGAUAUAUGGAGGAACACCGGUGGCGAAAGCGGCUCUCUGGCCUGUAACUGACACUGAGGCUCGAAAGCGUGGGGAGCAAACAGGAUUAGAUACCCUGGUAGUCCACGCCGUAAACGAUGAGUGCUAGAUGUAGGGAGCUAUAAGUUCUCUGUAUCGCAGCUAACGCAAUAAGCACUCCGCCUGGGGAGUACGACCGCAAAGGUUGAAACUCAAAGGAAUUGACGGGGGGCCCGCACAAGCG